GAUGAACGCUGGCGGCGUGCCUAAUACAUGCAAGUCGAACGCUGGAAAUCUAGCUUGCUAGCUUGAAGGAGUGGCGAACGGGUGAGUAAUACAUAAGCAACCUACCCACGAAGACUGGGAUAAUCUCUGGAAACGGGGACUAAUACCGGAUAGGUAAUCGGAAGGCAUCUUCUGAUUAUUAAAGGUUAAAAAAACUGGUGGAUGGGCUUAUGGCGCAUUAGUUAGUUGGUGAGGUAACGGCCCACCAAGACGAUGAUGCGUAGCCGGCCUGAGAGGGUGAACGGCCACAUUGGGACUGAGACACGGCCCAGACUCCUACGGGAGGCAGCAGUAGGGAAGUUUCGGCAAUGGGGGAAACCCUGACCGAGCAACGCCGCGUGAGUGAUGACGGCCUUCGGGUUGUAAAGCUCUGUUGUAAGGGAAGAACGGUAGAUAGAGAAUAUCUAAAUGACGGUACCUUACCAGAAAGCCACGGCUAACUACGUG
Molecule: ribosomal RNA, 486 nt
Filed under: uncultured bacterium
Lineage: Bacteria
Description: partial 16S ribosomal RNA
Rfam family: Bacterial small subunit ribosomal RNA
Source: RNAcentral